Myiozetetes cayanensis is the source of this 6144-nucleotide RNA transcript. It is a transcript of the gene named COMM domain containing 10, with no coding region annotated. The transcript has 9 exons. The record is from RefSeq and is a predicted model, not a curated record. NCBI's taxonomy places the organism in Eukaryota, Metazoa, Chordata, Aves, Passeriformes, Tyrannidae.
GGGGCGGGCUGGCUCCGCAGCUAUGGCGGCGCCCGUGGUGCCGGAGAGCGACAGCAUCCGCAGGGCCGUGUCGCUGCUCAACGCCGUGGACUCGGGCCGGUUCCCGCGGCUGCUCUCCCGCCUCCUCCAGAAGCUGCACCUGAAGGCUGAAAGUACCUUCAGUGAAGAGGAGGAAGAAAAACUUCAAAUAGCUUUUUCAUUGGAAAAGCAGGAUCUUCAUCUGGUUCUUGAAACUAUAUCCUUCAUUUUAGAACAGGCAGUCUAUCAUAAUCUGAAGCCUGCUUCCUUGCAACAGCAGCUACAGAACAUUCAGUUGGAUCAAGACAAAGCUGAAGCAUUUGCUACUGCAUGGGCGGCGGCAGGUCAAGAUACGAUUGAGAAGUUCAGGCAGAGGGUUUUGACCCCCCAGAAGCUUGAGACAAUUGGAUGGCAGCUUAAUCUUCAAAUGGCGGAGUCCAAGCAAGCAAAACUGAAGUCUCCUCAAGCUGUGCUAGAGCUGGGAGUGAGCAAUGAAGAUUCAAAGCUGCAGGUUUUAGGAAGGGGGAAUAUGAAUAACAUCGCUCCUGUGGUUCUGAAAUGACCUGGUGAACUCCUAGCCCCUUCAGCAGGCACUGCUUGGGAUUGGAGCUCCAGCUUUCUGUUUUUUGAGGAGCCCUCCUGCCCAAGGCAGAAGGCUGAGUUUCUGCCUUAUAUUAAAUGAUCUGACACAAUAGGCCUGUUUGGUUGAAGAAGCUUCAAAUGUAAAGGUUUCCAUAAAUAAAUAAUAAAAAAAGAAAAUGUCACCAACAACCCUCUUAAUGGCAAAGGUAGCUGCUACUUGCAAAUGAAGAAUUGCUUUACAAGUUCCUGAAAACUACCAUUGUACUUUAAAAAAACAACUUGAUAAACUUCAUUAAAACUGGUUUUCUGUUCAGUGCUACUGUUGAAAAGGCUCAGCCUGGGGGCAGGGUUAGGGACAGGGAAAGCAGGUUCUGCUCUUGACUUUGCUAAUAAUGGGAUAUAAAACCUGAACUAAGUCACUCCAGCUCUGUUUUGCCUUACACCUCCUUGGAUUUUUGACCUUGGUGACUGCAGCUUUGAUAUAAACUACAGCAUCUCAGCAGAGCUCUGCACAUUUUGAGUAUUGAUCAUUAAGUGAUCUCAGCCUGGCCCCUGGUAAAUCACAGACUGUUAUGUUCUCUGGUGGCCUCCCUGUGCAUCCUGCAGGUGAAGGAGGGUGUUAGCAGGACUGAGCCAUCUCACACCCCAAAGGCCACAUCCCAGAGCCACACAGCAUACAGCUCAGGCUUUACAUGACACAGAGCUGUUGGGACACUGCUGUGACAUCCCUGGCAGCUGGACUGUGUCCUUCAACAAGGUCAAAACCCACCCCACUCCCUCUCCUGCAUGCACUGACCAUGACCAUCACUGUGUUUUCCCACAGAGACAUGGUUCCUACUGCCUCAAGGUGGGGUGCACACUGAGCCCAUAUGGCAUGUGGGAGCCAGCCUUUCCCUGUAUCCCACCUGGAUUACCCAGCUGGGAUGGUGGGUUCCUGCAUACCUCAAAAAUUACUGAGAUGUGGCAUCCAGCUCAGCUCCUUCAGCAGGCACAACUUGUCCUGCUUGCUGUUCCGUGCUGGGUGACCUGUACAGCACCUGCAGAUUCUGCUGCUGAAGAUUUUAUGUCAUCUUUUGGAACUCUAAUUAAAACCAAACUAAAUAAUUUUGUCCCAAGACUCAAUCCUAUGAGAACCCUGCUAUAUCUAGCCCCAUUAUUAAGGGUGCUCUAGGAUUUACCAGAGAGCUAGUUUGUAAUUUAUCUUCAGGAACAAUUAAUUAAAUAUUGUUUUGGAACCAAAUCAUCCAUGCUUAGAAUUUACUGGUAUUUGAAAAUCAUAGACUCAUAGAAUGGUUUGGUUUGGAAGGACUUCAAAGAUCACGUUGUUCCAAACCCCUGCCACUCUGGAGGACAAGAUCUGCAGAUGGAAUCAGAACUCAGUCUCAAGCUACUCCUUGGUAUCUUGGUCUAAAAUAAGAGACACUGAAGGCUUGAAAAAUACUGAUGUCAGCCCUACCAGGGACAUUCAAGAUACGAAAUGUUGUUGGCUGUGUCUGUGGACAGGAGAUUGGAUUAUAGAAGAGGAAAAUUUCCCUCAGAGUGUGGGUUGCUGUGGGACAGGCUUAUUCUGUUCCUGUGAUACCAUCAAAAGAGCAGCCACAGUCUGACAAGGAACUGAAGGAGCAUCUCUCCCACCUCUUUCCCAGAGAAGACCUAAGUGCCAGGGGAUUAAAACUCCACAUGCUCUAUGGAAAUGUAAUACUUGUCCUUAUUACAGCAGAGAUAGCAAGACAGAAAAUGUACCUCCAAGGCUCUCCUGAGACUUCAUGAGGAUACAAAACUUUCAUGUUGUAAAUCAACUUCUUCUAAAAUAAUGUCUUUUCAUGCAUUUGGUACAGAAGGUAUUUGUAGCCCAGAAUUAGAACUAAAAUGUUCCUCAGCAAACUAUGUUAAAAGAACAUUGAAAAGUUGCCUCUACCCCAUAGGAAUUUUUGAUAAGUAUUCUGGAUAUACUGAACAAUACUAUUCUAGAUAUAGUAUUGUUCCUAUUUUUCUGUCCCAAAUUAAUUGCAGCAUUUAGGUGGACAACAGAUAUUUGCUUACAAGACAGGAACUUUAUAUUUAAAAGUGAAACAGCUCUUGAAAUCGUAAGCACCUGCAUGAGACAUUACAGCUGGUUGCCACAGACAUUAUUGUGCUAUGACAAUAUAGAGGAUUAUGAUUUCACAGGGUGAAUAAUUAUCAAGGACGGAUGAUCACUUAAGAAAAUAAGAUCUGGCAUCCCUAUAAAUGUCUUUAUAGUAAAAAUGUAAGGGCAGGAAAGUAAAUCUCAGAAAACAAUAUAUAAUUAGAAACAAUCUCCAAAUUAAGUGUUUCUCAGAGAACCCUCUUUAAAGCCCAGCAGCUUCUUAAGAGGCAGAUUUUUCUAUUCUUUGUCAUCAGCACUUAACAAGCAGCAGCAAAACCUAGCUCUGUUUAAAUCCAUGUACAAAAUUGCUGUAUGUAGAAGCCAAGACUAGUGGUUACAGCACAGUCAGCAAAACCAAUAUUUCACUGCAAACGUGUUGGUCUCCUGUGGACCUUCACCUGCUGAUAUUUACGAGCUAGACAGACCCUGCAGCAUUCUGAGACCAAAUUUAUUUACACUUGUACAGCUGCAGUCAUUAACUAGAGAAUCAGUUACAGAUACAGAUACUUAAAAAGCCUUUCUUGCAGGAACUUCUCAGACAUGCCCCUUUGAGCACUUAAGUCCAAUGUUUUUUGCAUUAAAAAGACUCAAAAUCCCCACUCAGUGUGUUGGAAAUAAUAUAAUUUUCGAAUUUUUAAUAGCUAUUAUGAACCUUUUGAUUACUUUUGUUAAUUAAUCAUAGAUGCUGUGUUAAGUCUUAAAUUACUUCAAGUCAGCAUUUAGCAAGAAGUUGUCAUAAGCUACUUUAGUGGGAACAUAGUACUUGGGAAAAGUACUGAAACUCUAAGUUUUGUUAAAGGUUAUCCUUGAUAUGCUUUAGUGAACAAAGCUGAGGAGAGAGAAAGAUGUAUUGUUGAAGCUGGACAUCUGGAACCCAAGAUUUAUGAACUCCAAGGACUUUUUGCAGAAAUCAGCAGAUAAAGAAGGCGGCUAACAAAGACUCAAUAUAUGUGAUAGAAAGUCUUUUCCAAGACAAAGAUACAAAAAAGACUGAAGAUGUGACCUAAUUAUUGUAAAAAGCAAAAAAUUAAUAACCAGUAGAAAGUAGAAUACUAACUAAUGAAAGAGAAUUACGUAAUUAAGAACCAAGGAAAAUUAAUUUCAUUGUUUGCUAAAAAUGUAUAAAUGGGUAGAAAAAUUAUGUAUUGGGGUCCAUGUGGGGCUGACUUAACUCUGUUAGUCUUACACACAUACCUCUGGCCAGAAUUAAAGUUAUGCCUUGCUUUCUAAUGCUAAAAUGACAGUGUUAGAGAGUUUUAUUUAUCCCAACAAUUUCAGAGUACUUGACAACAAGUGCCUUCCUAAUGGUGCAAACACCUACUGUCAAAGUCAGCACGGGUUCAUGAAGGGAAAAGUCAUAUCUUACUAACUUAAUAUUCUUCACUGAAAGGGUGGUCAGUCAUUGGAACAAACUGCCCAACGAAGUGGUGGAAUUAUCAUCCCUGGGAUUGUUUGAAAAGUGUGUGUCACUGCUGUCAUGUACCACUUGAGGCCAUUUAUAUCCUGUUACUUUACAGUAUAGGCUGUGAACAAGAGGCUGAAGUGCAGCCCUGUGGGAAGGGAAGUGGCAGUUUUGGUUGAUGGUAAACUCAGGAUGAGUCAACAACAUGUCCUGGAAGAUAAAAGGGCCAACUGCAUAAAAAUACUGGAAUGUGUCCAAAGGAGUGAAAAGACUACACAGGGCAUCACUAAUGAGGAGUGGAUGAAGAUAUUUGAUUUGUUCACCUCAGAGGAGACCUCAGAAUCACAGAACAUUCUGAGCUGAAAGAGACCCAGAAAGAUCCAGGUCUUAAGUGAAUGGCCCAUACAGGAAUCAAACCCAUGACCAUUAGUGUCAUGUUCUAAUCAACUGAGCUAGUCUCAGGGCCAACCACAUUGCUGUCUAAAGCUUCCUUAUGGUGGGGAGGGGGGAGGAGAGUGCUGUUCUCUCUCUCAGGUAUCUGAUGAUAGGAUGCAAUGGAACAGCUUAAAACUCAUGUUCAUGUCUGACAUUUCCUACUGGUUAAGGGAAACUCCAAGUUCUACACUCUCGGCCUGCUGCUUUAGGCUAAGUCCUACUCUGCAAAUGACAGCCUUAAACACAAACAUGCAUCACUGCAUAUAAAAGCAACAUGAAAUCUUCAGUUUAGAUUACCAACAGAUAUCAAAUCAUUAGCACUCAUAUUACCACACAGCCCAGACUGAAUGACCAUUUGUGUUCAUGGGAGAGGUAGCUGGAAUGAGAUUGUGUAUGCUGCAGGCAUUUUAUCUGCAUAAAUUUAUGAUAGUCUUAAAACAGCCUGAUUUCAGCUAGCUCCUCUGGAACUCAAACCUUCGUGGUAUUUUAUAUACUACAGGAUAUUUAACAUUAGUGGUUUUGCUCUGGGCAGGUGGCUCUUCUCUGGACACAAUGCCAGAUUAAUGCCAUAAUUUAUUUUUUAUCAGAGAUCACAUCCAUGUAUCUUUAGUUAUGCAAACAAUCCCACUAACUUCAAUGUAAAUAAAAUAAAAUUGGUGAGAUUUGACCCUGAAUUAGUGUUUAUGGAAUAGUUAAAACUAAGUAAUGAAAAAGUAGGAAAAAUGUUCAACAUCCUACUGUCAUGACCAUAGAGCGCGAGGGGGGUGAGGGGUUGGAAUUUAAUACAAAAUGCGGUUGUUGUCUAUCAAUAUCUCAAGCCCCUAACAUCAGUAGUAACUGCCUUCACAGAGUGGGAUGAAUAAGCAGGUGUGUGAUCCCAAACAAGCCAGUUUGAAACAAACAGGACAAUGUUCAUACUGCUUUAUAAACUGCACUGCAUGUGCUUUGACCUAUCCUGCAGUUCUUAAAGAACAACACAGACCCCAUGGCGCAGUCCAGCAUAAUUAAUUUGCACUCAUUAUUCAAGGAAUUAAAAUGAAUAGAGAAAGUAAUCAGAAAAAUGUAGGGCUUACAUUUUUGAAAAUUAAGUAAAGUAUUCAGACUCUCACUUUUGAGGAAAUACCUGCUGUUAAAAUAUCUUACAGCUAUAUGUUAUCUGACAUACUACUAAGACAUCAUGUACUGCAAAACAGACUGGGCUGGCUGCAUAAAAUACUGUGGAAUGAGACUGUAAAAUACGUUUGAUAUAAUUAUCACCACAUUAUUUUUAUCUUAUUUAAUAAUAAAAAUAUUAUUCUAAAUUAAAUACUUUUACAGUGUUAUGUCUAGAACUUUCCUGUUUGCCUUGUAUCAUUUUCAUGAGUGAAAAUACAUUGCUUACUUCAUUUUAUGUGGUCUGAACGGCCCAUCCAUACUCCUGACUGUUUUCUCUACUGAGACUUAUCACUGGGGAUAACAACAAGCUAUUCUUUGGAAAGGGAUAGUGUUGACAGAGUUACCUGUAUCAACAUUACACUCAGGAGAUGUGUGGUGGUAAAGAUGAUAACAGUAAAACUGAAAAUGUUACAAAGACAGAGAU